Long non-coding RNA from Contarinia nasturtii (swede midge), 776 nucleotides. RefSeq lists it as uncharacterized. The record is from RefSeq and is a predicted model, not a curated record. The transcript is spliced from 4 exons. NCBI's taxonomy places the organism in Eukaryota, Metazoa, Arthropoda, Insecta, Diptera, Cecidomyiidae.
AAACCUUUUGGAAAAUCUUCUGAUCGAGAAUUUUUGAGACUUUAUACCCAAUUAUAAAAGAGAAACUUUUGAUUGCUGUACAUUUUUCAGAAAGACUUACUCUUGUACUUUGAAUUUACCGCAAAUAGCAUUUAAAAACGAAGAAAAAAUUGUGCUUGCUUGUUAUUGUGACGCUUAUAAGCAUUGAAUAUGCGGUAGCACAACGCUAUUUAAUUCCGAGAGAGCAAAGCAUGACGAUAAGGCAAAAUUGCUUGCCAGCGCCACCAAAUGACUCCAUAUGAUUCUAUAUAGUUCUGCGGUUGCCAGCGGUUCUAAUCUCUAAUAGAGCGUUGCCGAGCUGUCAUUAUCGUCGUGCUUUGCGAGAGAGAGGAAAAAUUGGCCCGAUGCAAUUCAGUAUUGCAAUAGAAGAAAUAGGAGAUUGGUGAGCAUUGAAUCGCAAGACGAGUUGGAUCAAAUUAUCUAUGCAAUCAGACACAAGGACUUCGGAACCGAAUAUAUUUGGACAUCUGGGACUAAUCAAAACAGUUGGAAUGGAAAAUAUACUUGGUAUGAAAUUGAUGAGCCUGUAGGCUGUAACCCUUGAUAAUUGGGCAAAUGGUCAGCCGGAUAACUACGGUGGAGAUCAAAAUUGCAUCAUUUUGGAUCGCAAUCAUAACUAUCAAUUUGAUGAUGCCAAUUGCUACAUCAACAAAUACAAUUUCAUUUGUGAAGAAAAGUACUAGAUUACGAUCUUCAUUCCAUAUUACUACUCUCAACUUACGGAUGUACUGUUUGGU